GAUGAACGCUGGCGGCGUGCCUAAUACAUGCAAGUCGAGCGGACGGACGAGAAGCUUGCGUCUCUGAUGUUAGCGGCGGACGGGUGAGUAACACGUGGAUAACCUACCUAUAAGACUGGGAUAACUUCGGGAAACCGGAGCUAAUACCGGAUGAUAUUUUGAACCGCAGGGUUCAAAAGUGAAAGACGGUCUUGCUGUCACUUAUAGAUGGAUCCGCGCUGCAUUGGCUAGUUGGUAAGGUAACGGCUUACCAAGGCAACGAUGCAUAGCCGAGCUGAGAGGGUGAUCGGCCACACUGGAACUGAGACACGGUCCAGACUCCUACGGGAGGCAGCAGUAGGGAAUCUUCCGCAAUGGGCGAAAGCCUGACGCAGCAACGCCGCGUGAGUGAUGAAGGUCUUCGGAUCGUAAAGCUCUGUUAUUAGGGAAGAACAUAUGUGUAAGUAACUGUGCACAUCUUGACGGUACCUAAUCAGAAAGCCCCGGCUAACUACGUG
RNAcentral lists this ribosomal RNA (497 nucleotides) under uncultured bacterium. RNAcentral describes it as "partial 16S ribosomal RNA". It matches the Rfam family "Bacterial small subunit ribosomal RNA", at positions 28 to 507 of the family's 1533-position model. The record is from RNAcentral.